AAUGUGGCUUGCUUUGGUAUGUGGAAGUUUCUUUCAGAUUGCUUAGUGGGAAGUGGGAACAAAAUAGAUUAUUCAGAUUGCAAAUAAAUAUAGAAAAUAGCAUUUAAUGGAUUAAAAUAAGAAUAAGCACAGGUGUCCUAGUGAUCCAUAAGUAUACAAUUAAUUUCAAUUAAAAAAUGUUAAGUACUUCAAUGCUAUAAAAAAAUAUCCAAAUCCCAAAAUUUAAUUGUUGUUCUUUUGUAUGUUUGACAACUUUAUUAUAGUUCAAUGGUGCAAUUAUUGUCUAGCUGCUUAUGAUUUCUGAGACUCCAAAGGAGUGAACAAACUGCUAUAGGAGGUAGAUAGGAAAUUAGAUAAAAUUAAUUCUGCACUACAAUUACGUUUCCUUUGCUACUGGUUUUGAUAUCUCGCUUCUUGUUAUUUCUCAUUUUCACUCUUAUAUAAGUGGCUAGACAUAACAAGUUUUACUUCAUUUAGUUUUCUAAUAUGUUAGCGUCCAUUUUGACAUCUUUACCAUGUAUGGUUUUUUAACAUUUUAGACUUAGGCCGUUAUAUUUGCAUCUAGUUAUAAUCAAAACCCCAAAUGUCAGUUCACUUCUUGUCCUUCUAUGUAUAUGCCAUAUAAUUGUUGAAAUCAAGGGCCAAGGAGUGUGGAUUGAUAAACAAGUAGAUCUCCAUGUUGAAUUGGCUUGAAAUUGGGCUCUUCUUCACCAAAAUGAGCCAUUUUGGUUUGGUUUGCCAA
Molecule: unclassified non-coding RNA, 742 nt
Filed under: Hevea brasiliensis (rubber tree)
Lineage: Eukaryota; Viridiplantae; Streptophyta; Magnoliopsida; Malpighiales; Euphorbiaceae
Source: RNAcentral